RNAcentral lists this long non-coding RNA (2587 nucleotides) under Sus scrofa (pig). RNAcentral describes it as "lncRNA (ENSSSCG00050064046.1)". Lineage: Eukaryota; Metazoa; Chordata; Mammalia; Artiodactyla; Suidae. The record is from RNAcentral.
GCAGAGCAGAGGAAUGACCCAUGGAAAUCUCACUGCCGCAUUGGGGUGCUCAAUCCAGGGAAACAUUCAAAGCUGCUCCUGUCUGUCAGCUAAAGAUGACAAAUAUUUAUCAUCUCUGGACACCCCUCCAGCCUCUGAAAUAUGUACUCCAGUCAUGAAGCAGAGAAUGUUAUAGAGAAGACAAAGAAUUAAAUGAACCUUCUGAGGACUUCAAGCCUGGGAAGCAGCCUCUCAGACAGCUCCGCCUGCUCCAAAAGAGGUAAAGGAGAAGCCAGAAUAUAUAGGAAUUUUACAACAAAAAAACAGGUGCUAAAUCCCAGCCAUACAUCAGUGCUCUAUCAUUACAAGUCAAGGUCUAUUUCUGGGAGUGACUGUGUGUCUGACCAAAGAGAUGAGUUAUCGAGGAAGAAGGCCUCCCUCGUCUAGGACACCAUUUUCUGGAAAAAGAUGAACAUCUGUAAGGACAGCCAGCUAGGCUGUUACAAGGCCUCCUCCUUCCAUCACCCCACAGGGAGUAAAUCUGGGCAGGGAAGGACCCAGCCAGAUGUGGAUGUCUGCAUGCUGCUGGGGCAACAUCCGCAUUUUUACAGAAAAAGACAGAUACCAUAUGAUCUCACUUGCACAUGGAAUCUAAAAACAAACAAAACAACUACCUCACAGAUACAGAAAACAGAUUGGUGGCUGCCAGAGCUGCUGCUUGCACAGUUGGAAUAACGUGCCACUAUGAGGUGGCUACUUCGUGAACCGGAGGUUCUCAUUCAGAGUAUAAAUUCAGAGGAAAGACAUCUUCAGGUAAAGAAGGAACAGAAAAUACCAAGUGGUUCUCCACAGGGACCUGUAUGUUUUUCACUACCUAUGGGAGGGAAGUGAAAACCUGUGUUUAGGGAUCCAUUGAAGAAUUUGGUGGUAUUCAUCCUAGUUCAGAGCAACCCCAUGCUGAGCAGAUUGCAUUCCAUCAUGAAAUAAUUGGUAUAGAGGACCUUGAAUAGGCAUGCUCUAUACUUCCAGCAUUUAGUAAAACUCAAAUGGCAGCUGUAAUGACAUUAGUUUAUCACUUCUCAUUCAUCAAAGACUAAAAGUAUUGGAGAAAUUCAUUGGAUAAUAUAACAUCCAUUACACCUUGACUCUGUAUCAGUGAUCAAAGGUGUAAAUACCAUAAGCACGACACUGAUGUUUAUACUCCAAAGUUUGACACCUCACUUUGGGCACAGGAAUAUUAAAAUGUUCUUAGCUAUAAUUCCUCUCCAAAUGUAAAAUUAAUCAUCAAGGCUUUCAAUAGCUUUACUUACUAUGCUGCACCUUAUUUUUUACAACAACCUAAGGAAAUACUCUAGCUACUGAGGCAGUGUUAUUGUAUGCCAAAAGGUGGAGGAGACUGCUAAUAAAGCAAAACCAACCCAAACCAAACCACCACCAACAACAAAACCCAGAAAACCAACUACUGAUAAUGCAGAGGUAAGUUUUUAUUAGGGGUUCUAAAGUGACAUAUGCCAGCUAAAUUAAACUUUUUAAGAUGGUGGAUUAGCCACAGAGUGAAAUCUUUCACACAGACCUCAAAGAAAUCAUAGAAAAGAGUUUUUUAAAAAAUGAUUAAAUACAUAUUUAUGCUUGGAAACCAAAGAAGAGAAUCUCUACAGAUUAGAAAGACAUACCUCAAAAUAGGAAACAAAUAGGAAGCGACAGUGGUAAAAAGAGGCCAAUGCUUUCAGAAAACUAUACUGGUCUAAAGGCAUAUAUAUACACAUAUAUAGGUACAUGUGUAUGUGUGCACACACAUUUGCAGGAAAGAUUUUAUGAAACAUACCAUCUAGUUGUUUAUACUACAAGGGUCAUUUAAAACCUGAACUUUAGGUUCUCCAAAUUUAGGUUAAUAUUGUUGAGAUUUAGGUGAUGUCCUAAGGAGAUCAUUUAGAAUUCAUGAUGGACAAAAAAGUCAUUCUUAGAAAAUGAAAAAACAAGAGCAAGACACCAAGCAUCUGAAAAUCUAACAUGUGAAGGAAGGAAAACACAAUGCACUUAUGGAAGAGUUUAAACUUGGAAAGAAGAGAAAUAAUGCAGCAAUUUGAAAAUGUUUUUAAUAUGUGUAUCUAGUACCCAGGAAGAUAGCAAAUAAAGAUAUAAAUAGUUAUUUGCUUUUUUUAUAAAAAAAUAUAGAAAAUAUGCUAUUGACCAAUGCCAGGCACAUAUUAAACACUUUAUGAAAUUCAGCCAUUAUUUUCUUUCACUAUAAUUUUGGCUUCAUGAAAGCAGAGAAUUUUGUUUGUUUUAUUUACUGCUAUGUUCUCCAGCAUGUAGAAGAAUUUCUUACACAUGGAACAAAAAUUGAACAACUAAUUUUUAGAUAAAAAGGCUCAGAGGAAAUGAACCCAACUAGCAUCCAUGAAGAUGUGGGUUCGAUCCCUGGCCCUCACUCAGUGGGUUAAGGAUUCGGAGUUGCCAUGAGCUGCAGUGUAGGUCACAGACGUGGCUCAGAUCUGGCAUUGCUGUAGCUGUGAUGUAGGCUGGCAGCUAUAACUUGGAUUAGACCCCUAGCCUGGGAACUUCCAUAUGCUACAGGUGUGGCCCUAAGCACCAAAAGAAAAAAAAA